GAUGAACGCUGGCGGCGUGCCUAAUACAUGCAAGUCGAGCGAACGGACGAGAAGCUUGCUUCUCUGAUGUUAGCGGCGGACGGGUGAGCAACACGUGGAUAACCUACCUAUAAGACUGGGAUAACUUCGGGAAACCGGAGCUAAUACCGGAUAAUAUUUUGAACCGCAUGGUUCAAAAGUGAAAGACGGUCUUGCUGUCACUUAUAGAUGGAUCCGCGCUGCAUUAGCUAGUUGGUAAGGUAACGGCUUACCAAGGCAACGAUGCAUAGCCGACCUGAGAGGGUGAUCGGCCACACUGGAACUGAGACACGGUCCAGACUUCUACGGGAGGCAGCAGUAGGGAAUCUUCCGCAAUGGGCGAAAGCCUGACGGAGCAACGCCGCGUGAGUGAUGAAGGUCUUCGGAUCGUAAAACUCUGUUAUUAGGGAAGAACAUAUGUGUAAGUAACUGUGCACAUCUUGACGGUACCUAAUCAGAAAGCCACGGCUAACUACGUG
This 497-nucleotide ribosomal RNA is filed under the name uncultured bacterium. Its description in RNAcentral is "partial 16S ribosomal RNA". It matches the Rfam family "Bacterial small subunit ribosomal RNA", at positions 28 to 507 of the family's 1533-position model. The record is from RNAcentral.